This 2878-nucleotide ribosomal RNA is filed under the name Burkholderia sola. RNAcentral describes it as "23S ribosomal RNA". It matches the Rfam family "Bacterial large subunit ribosomal RNA". The record is from RNAcentral. Lineage: Bacteria; Pseudomonadati; Pseudomonadota; Betaproteobacteria; Burkholderiales; Burkholderiaceae.
UCAAGCGAACAAGUGCAUGUGGUGGAUGCCUUGGCGAUCACAGGCGAUGAAGGACGCGGUAGCCUGCGAAAAGCUACGGGGAGCUGGCAAACGAGCUUUGAUCCGUAGAUGUCCGAAUGGGGAAACCCGGCCCUUUUGGGUCAUCCUGGACUGAAUACAUAGGUCCAGUGAAGCGAACGCGGUGAACUGAAACAUCUAAGUAACCGCAGGAAAAGAAAUCAACCGAGAUUCCCAAAGUAGUGGCGAGCGAAAUGGGAUGAGCCUUGCACUCUUUAUUUGUAUUGUUAGCCGAACGCUCUGGAAAGUGCGGCCAUAGCAGGUGAUAGCCCUGUAGGCGAAAACAGUAUGAAAGAACUAGGUGUGCGACAAGUAGGGCGGGACACGUGAAAUCCUGUCUGAAGAUGGGGGGACCAUCCUCCAAGGCUAAAUACUCGUGAUCGACCGAUAGUGAACCAGUACCGUGAGGGAAAGGCGAAAAGAACCCCGGGAGGGGAGUGAAAUAGAUCCUGAAACCGCAUGCAUACAAACAGUCGGAGCCUCGCAAGGGGUGACGGCGUACCUUGUGUAUAAUGGGUCAGCGACUUACGUUCAGUAGCAAGCUUAACCGUAUAGGGCAGGCGUAGCGAAAGCGAGUCCGAAUAGCGCGUUCAGUUGCUGGGCGUAGACCCGAAACCAGGUGAUCUAUCCAUGGCCAGGAUGAAGGUGCGGUAACACGUACUGGAGGUCCGAACCCACUAACGUUGAAAAGUUAGGGGAUGAGCUGUGGAUAGGGGUGAAAGGCUAAACAAACCUGGAAAUAGCUGGUUCUCUCCGAAAACUAUUUAGGUAGUGCCUCGUGUCUCACCUUCGGGGGUAGAGCACUGUCAUGGUUGGGGGGUCUAUUGCAGAUUACCCCGCCAUAGCAAACUCCGAAUACCGAAGAGUGCAAUCACGGGAGACAGACAUCGGGUGCUAACGUCCGGUGUCAAGAGGGAAACAACCCAGACCGCCAGCUAAGGUCCCCAAAUAUAGCUAAGUGGGAAACGAAGUGGGAAGGCUAAAACAGUCAGGAGGUUGGCUUAGAAGCAGCCACCCUUUAAAGAAAGCGUAAUAGCUCACUGAUCGAGUCGUCCUGCGCGGAAGAUGUAACGGGGCUAAGCUAUAUACCGAAGCUGCGGAUGCGAGCUUGCUCGCAUGGUAGGAGAGCGUUCCGUAAGCCUGCGAAGGUGCCUUGUAAAGGGUGCUGGAGGUAUCGGAAGUGCGAAUGCUGACAUGAGUAGCGAUAAAGGGGGUGAAAGGCCCCCUCGCCGUAAGCCCAAGGUUUCCUACGCAACGUUCAUCGGCGUAGGGUGAGUCGGCCCCUAAGGCGAGGCAGAAAUGCGUAGCUGAUGGGAAGCAGGUCAAUAUUCCUGCACCAUUGUUAGAUGCGAUGGGGGGACGGAUCGCGGAAGGUUGUCCGGGUGUUGGAAGUCCCGGUCGCUGCAUUGGAGAAGGCGCUUAGGCAAAUCCGGGCGCGCAAUUCAAGGGUGUGGCGCGAGCUCCUUAGGGAGCGAAGCAAUUGGAAGUGGUUCCAAGAAAAGCCUCUAAGCUUCAGUCUAACGAUGACCGUACCGCAAACCGACACAGGUGGGCGAGAUGAGUAUUCUAAGGCGCUUGAGAGAACUCGGGAGAAGGAACUCGGCAAAUUGGUACCGUAACUUCGGGAUAAGGUACGCCCUUGUAGCUUGACUGGCCUGCGCCAGGAGGGUGAAGGGGUUGCAAUAAACUGGUGGCUGCGACUGUUUAAUAAAAACACAGCACUCUGCAAACACGAAAGUGGACGUAUAGGGUGUGACGCCUGCCCGGUGCCGGAAGAUUAAAUGAUGGGGUGCAAGCUCUUGAUUGAAGUCCCGGUAAACGGCGGCCGUAACUAUAACGGUCCUAAGGUAGCGAAAUUCCUUGUCGGGUAAGUUCCGACCUGCACGAAUGGCGUAACGAUGGCCACACUGUCUCCUCCCGAGACUCAGCGAAGUUGAAGUGUUUGUGAUGAUGCAAUCUACCCGCGGCUAGACGGAAAGACCCCAUGAACCUUUACUGUAGCUUUGCAUUGGACUUUGAACCGAUCUGUGUAGGAUAGGUGGGAGGCUAUGAAACCGGAACGCUAGUUUCGGUGGAGCCGUCCUUGAAAUACCACCCUGGUUUGUUUGAGGUUCUAACCUUGGCCCGUGAUCCGGGUCGGGGACAGUGCAUGGUAGGCAGUUUGACUGGGGCGGUCUCCUCCCAAAGCGUAACGGAGGAGUACGAAGGUACGCUAGGUACGGUCGGAAAUCGUGCUGAUAGUGCAAUGGCAUAAGCGUGCUUAACUGCGAGACCGACAAGUCGAGCAGGUGCGAAAGCAGGUCAUAGUGAUCCGGUGGUUCUGUAUGGAAGGGCCAUCGCUCAACGGAUAAAAGGUACUCUGGGGAUAACAGGCUGAUACCGCCCAAGAGUUCAUAUCGACGGCGGUGUUUGGCACCUCGAUGUCGGCUCAUCUCAUCCUGGGGCUGUAGCCGGUCCCAAGGGUAUGGCUGUUCGCCAUUUAAAGAGGUACGUGAGCUGGGUUUAAAACGUCGUGAGACAGUUUGGUCCCUAUCUGCCGUGGGCGUUGGAUAUUUGAAGGGGGCUGCUCCUAGUACGAGAGGACCGGAGUGGACGAACCUCUGGUGUACCGGUUGUCACGCCAGUGGCAUCGCCGGGUAGCUAUGUUCGGAAGAGAUAACCGCUGAAAGCAUCUAAGCGGGAAACUCGCCUUAAGAUGAGAUAUCCCUGGGGACUAGAUCCCCUUGAAGGGUCGUUCGAGACCAGGACGUUGAUAGGUCAGGUGUGUAAGCGCAGUAAUGCGUUCAGCUAACUGAUACUAAUUGCCCGUAAGGCUUGAUCC